AUUGAACGCUGGCGGCAUGCUUUACACAUGCAAGUCGAACGGUAACAGGGUGCUUGCACCGCUGACGAGUGGCGAACGGGUGAGUAAUACAUCGGAACGUGCCCAAUCGUGGGGGAUAACGUAGCGAAAGCUACGCUAAUACCGCAUACGAUCUAAGGAUGAAAGAGGGGGAUCGCCAGACCUCGCGCGAAUGGAGCGGCCGAUGGCAGAUUAGGUAGUUGGUAGGGUAACGGCCUACCAAGCCGACGAUCUGUAGCUGGUCUGAGAGGAUGAUCAGCCACACUGGGACUGAGACACGGCCCAGACUCCUACGGGAGGCAGCAGUGGGGAAUUUUGGGCAAUGGACGAAAGUCUGAUCCAGCCAUGCCGCGUGCAGGAUGAAGGCCCUCGGGUUGUAAACUGCUGUUGUACAGAACGAAAAGGCACUGGUUAAUCCCUGGGGCUCAUGACGGUACUGUAAGAAUAAGCACCGGCUAACUACGUGCCAGCCGCCGCGGUAA
Molecule: ribosomal RNA, 500 nt
Filed under: uncultured bacterium
Lineage: Bacteria
Description: partial 16S ribosomal RNA
Rfam family: Bacterial small subunit ribosomal RNA
Source: RNAcentral